This 497-nucleotide ribosomal RNA is filed under the name uncultured bacterium. Its description in RNAcentral is "partial 16S ribosomal RNA". It matches the Rfam family "Bacterial small subunit ribosomal RNA", at positions 28 to 507 of the family's 1533-position model. The record is from RNAcentral.
GAUGAACGCUGGCGGCGUGCCUAAUACAUGCCAGUCGAGCGAACAGAUGAGGAGCUUGCUCCUCUGACGUUAGCGGCGGACGGGUGAGUAACACGUGGAUAACCUACCUAUAAGACUGGGAUAACUUCGGGAAACCGGAGCUAAUACCGGAUAAUAUAUUGAACCGCAUGGUUCAAUAGUGAAAGACGGUUUUGCUGUCACUUAUAGAUGGAUCCGCGCCGCAUUAGCUAGUUGGUAAGGUAACGGCUUACCAAGGCAACGAUGCGUAGCCGACCUGAGAGGGUGAUCGGCCACACUGGAACUGAGACACGGUCCAGACUCCUACGGGAGGCAGCAGUAGGGAAUCUUCCGCAAUGGGCGAAAGCCUGACGGAGCAACGCCGCGUGAGUGAUGAAGGUCUUCGGAUCGUAAAACUCUGUUAUUAGGGAAGAACAAAUGUGCAAGUAACUAUGCACGUCUUGACGGUACCUAAUCAGAAAGCCACGGCUAACUACGUG